CCUACGGGAGGCUGCAGUGGGGAAUAUUGGACAAUGGGGGGAACCCUGAUCCAGCCAUGCCGCGUGUGUGAAGAAGGCCCUCGGGUUGUAAAGCACUUUCAGUGAGGAAGAACGCCUGGUGGUUAAUACCCAUCAGGAAAGACAUCACUCACAGAAGAAGCACCGUCUAACUCCGUGCCAGCAGCCGCGGUAAUACGGAGGGUGCGAGCGUUAAUCGGAAUUACUGGGCGUAAAGCGCGCGUAGGUGGCUUGAUAAGCCGGUUGUGAAAGCCCCGGGCUCAACCUGGGAACGGCAUCCGGAACUGUCAAGCUAGAGUGCAGGAGAGGAAGGUAGAAUUCCCGGUGUAGCGGUGAAAUGCGUAGAGAUCGGGAGGAAUACCAGUGGCGAAGGCGGCCUUCUGGACUGACACUGACACUGAGGUGCGAAAGCGUGGGUAGCAAACAGGAUUAGAUACCCUUGUAGUC
This 465-nucleotide ribosomal RNA is filed under the name Vreelandella stevensii. Its description in RNAcentral is "partial 16S ribosomal RNA". It matches the Rfam family "Bacterial small subunit ribosomal RNA", at positions 338 to 795 of the family's 1533-position model. Lineage: Bacteria; Pseudomonadati; Pseudomonadota; Gammaproteobacteria; Oceanospirillales; Halomonadaceae. The record is from RNAcentral.